Molecule: ribosomal RNA, 826 nt
Filed under: uncultured bacterium
Lineage: Bacteria
Description: bacterial SSU rRNA
Rfam family: Bacterial small subunit ribosomal RNA
Source: RNAcentral
ANUGGGGGCUUGCGGUGGGUACGGNCCGGCUUGAGUGCGGUAGGGGAGACUGGAACUCCUGGUGUAGCGGUGGAAUGCGCAGAUAUCAGGAAGAACACCGGUGGCGAAGGCGGGUCUCUGGGCCGUUACUGACGCUGAGGAGCGAAAGCGUGGGGAGCGAACAGGAUUAGAUACCCUGGUAGUCCACGCCGUAAACGUUGGGCACUAGGUGUGGGGGGCCUUUUCCGGNUCUUCCGCGCCGUAGCUAACGCAUUAAGUGCCCCGCCUGGGGAGUACGGCCGCAAGGCUAAAACUCAAAGGAAUUGACGGGGGCCCGCACAAGCGGCGGAGCAUGCGGAUUAAUUCGAUGCAACGCGAAGAACCUUACCAAGGCUUGACAUGUGCCGGUCGGCUCCGGAGACGGGGCUUCCUCCUUGUGGGGCCGGUUCACAGGUGGUGCAUGGUUGUCGUCAGCUCGUGUCGUGAGAUGUUGGGUUAAGUCCCGCAACGAGCGCAACCCUUGUCCCGUGUUGCCAGCACGUUGUGGUGGGGACUCGCGGGAGACUGCCGGGGUCAACUCGGAGGAAGGUGGGGAUGACGUCAAAUCAUCAUGCCCCUUAUGUCUUGGGCUUCACGCAUGCUACAAUGGCCGGUACAGAGGGCUGCGAUACCGUGAGGUGGAGCGAAUCCCUUAAAGCCGGUCUCAGUUCGGAUCGGUGUCUGCAACUCGACACCGUGAAGUUGGAGUCGCUAGUAAUCGCAGAUCAGCAACGCUGCGGUGAAUACGUUCUCGGGCCUUGUACACACCGCCCGUCACGUCAUGAAAGUCGGCAUCACCCGAAGCCCG